GGUAUUCUCGAAAGCGGCCUAAGUUAAAUCAGUGGCCUAAACCUGGUUUAAACCAUGGACUAUCUUUUUUGCUAUUCUCGAAGGUGGCCUAAAGAUAAGCCAGGCUUAAAUACGUCAUAGUUCGGCCUAACUUUAGGCGGCUCAGAGGGCAGGUUUAAAUACGUCAUAGUUCGGCCUAACUUCGCGUGACGUCACUUUUUAGUUAAAUCGACUGUCCGCGGAGAGUGAACGGUUCUUUUCAAUUGAUGCAUGGGGAUGAAAAAAGAAGGCCUCUUCCAAGCUACGGUGUCCCGCCUUGUGAAGUCCAUCUCAAUAGCCAAUGCCAGGAGAUCGGACCAAUACAUCUCAAUUCCUUCAACAAGAGAGGCAGUCCUGCAGAGUGCAGACCCAACAUGAAUUUUAUAAUUACUGCCAUUUCCCUGGCGUUAAUAUGGUCGGUGCUAUUGAUUGCACCCACAUAGGCGUCUUCAAGCCAAUUGGCCCAACACCAGUUAUUUCCUGAACAGGAAAAAUAGAUACUCCAUUUUUCUUGGAAAGUCUGCUAGAUGAUGUUCUUCUUCAGUAAAAUAAAUGAAGGCAAAUUCCCUGAUAAUUGAGACAAAUUCAGAGAGAGGAAGGAGAACUACUGAGCUGCCGAAUUUCUGACAGACAUACUUGCAAGGACUAUGAAGUUCUACUUAGCCUCUUCAAUGAACCAGACUCUAUCUGCUGUAACUGUGACUGCAUGGGAAUCAAAACCUUUGUAUUAUGAUCCUCAUAACAUGAAGCUAACAAACAAGCAACCAUUGAUAAAAAGUCUGAUAUGUCCUUGUUGUGUGUGUGAACCACAAAGCAACCAUCGCUCAUAAGGAUGUUUUUAUAUACAUCAGAUGUUCAUUGUUUCACUGGAAAAAUUGUGAUUUUUGAGUUAUUUAAGAAAUCAUGUUUUAUAAUGUGUUUUAUAAUAAAGUGCAAGUCAUGAUAUAACAGAUUCCCUGCAAAAGAAAGACGGCUCAAAAGAAGACUAUGCUUUGUUUUUAAAAAAUGGGAAAAAGUAAUGUAACAAAUGCAGAACUUUGAAUUCUAAUAAUUUCAAAUAGCAGAUUAUGAGGCUAUUGGAGCUUAAUAUUUGACCUUCAAUUUUAUAAUCGUAUUCAUCGUGAAUUACAAUCUUUUCUGUUUUAAGAAAAAUAAAUAAAUUGAACAUAAUUGUUGAUAUGUUAUAUACAAUAUUCCUUUCAUAUCUUUUGAUUUUAAGUGUGCAUACUGUUGGGUUCUUUGAAUUAUACAUGGAAAAAGUCUGGAAAUAAAACAGUGAGAGAACAGAGAGCCAGCGAGAGAGAAAGAUAGAGUAAAAGAGAA
Molecule: long non-coding RNA, 1341 nt
Filed under: Strongylocentrotus purpuratus (purple sea urchin)
Lineage: Eukaryota; Metazoa; Echinodermata; Echinoidea; Camarodonta; Strongylocentrotidae
Description: uncharacterized LOC105438261
Source: RNAcentral